UACGAAGGGGGCUAGCGUUGUUCGGAAUUACUGGGCGUAAAGCGCGCGCAGGCGGUUUUCCAAGUCAGUGGUGAAAGCCCGGAGCUCAACUCCGGAACUGCCAUUGAAACUGGCGAACUUGAGUACGAGAGAGGUGAGUGGAAUUCCCAGUGUAGAGGUGAAAUUCGUAGAUAUUGGGAAGAACACCGGUGGCGAAGGCGGCUCACUGGCUCGUAACUGACGCUCAGGCGCGACAGCGUGGGGAUCAAACAGG
Molecule: ribosomal RNA, 253 nt
Filed under: uncultured bacterium
Lineage: Bacteria
Also listed under: 1 other name
Description: partial 16S ribosomal RNA
Rfam family: Bacterial small subunit ribosomal RNA
Source: RNAcentral